RNAcentral lists this ribosomal RNA (254 nucleotides) under uncultured bacterium. Its description in RNAcentral is "partial 16S ribosomal RNA". It matches the Rfam family "Bacterial small subunit ribosomal RNA", at positions 524 to 776 of the family's 1533-position model. The record is from RNAcentral.
GACGAACCGUGCAAACGUUAUUCGGAAUCACUGGGCUUAAAGCGCGUGUAGGCGGGACGGCACGUCGGUCGCUGAAAGCCCCGGGCUCAACCUGGGAACUGCAUUUGAGACUGAAGAACUCGAGUUCGGGAGAGGAUGGCGGAAUUCCCAGUGUAGAGGUGAAAUUCGUAGAUAUUGGGAAGAACACCGGUGGCGAAGGCGGCCAUCUGGACCGAGACUGACGCUGAGGCGCGAAAGCGUGGGGAGCAAACAGG